This 342-nucleotide ribosomal RNA is filed under the name uncultured Glomeromycotina. RNAcentral's name for it is "eukaryotic LSU rRNA". The record is from RNAcentral. Lineage: Eukaryota; Fungi; Glomeromycota.
AUCAGCCUUUCGUGUGCGAUUCUGUGGAGUUUGAGGAGCUUAACACCUUCAUGCUUUUGCAUAUUCGUGCUCUUGGGUGUACUUGCCCGUGUGGUUGGUUAACAUCAAUUUCGGGCACCAUAAAAUGACUGGAGGAAUGUAGCUUUGAUCUUGUAUUGAAGUGUUAUAGCCUUCGGUAGAUGUGGUGAUCGAGAUUGAGGAUUGCAACGGAUACCUUUCGGGGCUACCUGUCUGAUCUCUGAUCGUUGCUUUGGUGCUGAAAGCGUGCUUAUAGUUAUCAAAGUCGAUGGUCAAUAGGUUAGAAUGGGUUAAAUUCGUUAAGGAUGUUGACGUAAUGGCUUU